UACGUAGGGGGCAAGCGUUGUCCGGAUUUACUGGGUUUAAAGGGUGCGUAGGUGGGUUGGUAAGUCAGUGGUGAAAUACUUUCGCUUAACGAAGGAACUGCCAUUGAUACUACCAGUCUUGAAUACAGUGGAGGUAGGCGGAAUGCGUCAUGUAGCGGUGAAAUGCUUAGAUAUGACGCAGAACACCAAUUGCGAAGGCAGCUUGCUACACUGUUAUUGACACUGAGGCACGAAAGCGUGGGGAUCAAACAGG
This 253-nucleotide ribosomal RNA is filed under the name uncultured bacterium. RNAcentral's name for it is "partial 16S ribosomal RNA". It matches the Rfam family "Bacterial small subunit ribosomal RNA", at positions 524 to 776 of the family's 1533-position model. The record is from RNAcentral.